GACGAACGCUGGCGGCGUGCCUAAUACAUGCAAGUAGAACGCUGAAGGAGGAGCUUGCUUCUCCGGAUGAGUUGCGAACGGGUGAGUAACGCGUAGGUAACCUGCCUGGUAGCGGGGGAUAACUAUUGGAAACGAUAGCUAAUACCGCAUAAGAGUAGAUGUUGCAUGACAUUUGCUUAAAAGGUGCAAUUGCAUCACUACCAGAUGGACCUGCGUUGUAUUAGCUAGUUGGUGGGGUAACGGCUCACCAAGGCGACGAUACAUAGCCGACCUGAGAGGGUGAUCGGCCACACUGGGACUGAGACACGGCCCAGACUCCUACGGGAGGCAGCAGUAGGGAAUCUUCGGCAAUGGACGGAAGUCUGACCGAGCAACGCCGCGUGAGUGAAGAAGGUUUUCGGAUCGUAAAGCUCUGUUGUAAGAGAAGAACGAGUGUGAUAGUGGAAAGUUCACACUGUGACGGUAUCUUACCAGAAAGG
This 479-nucleotide ribosomal RNA is filed under the name Streptococcus mitis. RNAcentral's name for it is "bacterial SSU rRNA". It matches the Rfam family "Bacterial small subunit ribosomal RNA", at positions 28 to 491 of the family's 1533-position model. Lineage: Bacteria; Bacillati; Bacillota; Bacilli; Lactobacillales; Streptococcaceae. The record is from RNAcentral.